CUCAAAGUGUGUUCCUCAACCAGCAUCACUGACGUCCCAUGAACACUGGUUAGAAAUUCAGAAUCUUAGGUCCUACUCCAGACCUGGUGCCCAAUAACUGCCUUUUAAUAACAUCCUCAGGGAAUUUUAGGCACACAAAAUUGUGAAAAACACAGAACCAUUUCUCUAUAGUUCCCAGGCCCUAUUUAACUCUAUAAAGUUUCAGAGUCCAGAGGUCAAGGUUUCGGAAGGGAUAGGGUUCUGGAAUGUUAAAAGUCUAGAUUUUUAAGGUUCUAGGAUUCUAAUACUCUGAGGUUUUAGGAUUCUAAUGUCCUCUGGUUCUCAGAUUUGAGCCUUCUAGGUUUCCACUGUUCUAGAAUCCUAAGGGUCUGAAGUUCUGAGGCCCCCAGUACUGAGCAUCUCUGUGGGUGGCAGGCAGGGUGCUCACAGCAGAUAAUAACCAGUCCUCUUCCUUCUCCAUCUCUCCUCUUGCUCCUCUGGCCCCUUUCCUUCCUUUCCUCUCUCCAUUUCUCUCUCUGUGUGUCUCUCUUUCCCUCCUUGUCACCCUCAGCUGUGCCCAGCAGUCCGUGGCCUCCUUGAAAGCCUGGAUGCGGAGUAUGUUAAGAACCGCAUUGAGGAAGUUUAUAACCUCUAACAAGGAAAUUAAGAGAACAGUUGAAGAAAUCCACUACAAAGCCUGCCUGCUGCCAGUGCUGCCACCAUCCCGCAGGAGUGACAACUGAGCCCAGUCAAGGAUACCUCUCAGAUACUCCUCACAAUCAGGACACCCUAUGCUCGUCACCCUCCACCCCGAGCAAUAAAAAGCCAUUUCUGCACCUCUUUUGUGGCCUGUUGCAUUCCUUCCAUUGGGAUUUCAGGGAAGGUGAAGUAUGGGCAAUCAGGGCAGCAGAGACCUGGAUCCAAAGCUGGAUGGGAAUUUGGGAUUAUCCAGCCCUACCUUCUUGUCUUACAAAUGGGAACACUGAGGUCCAGGAUGGGCAAGAAGGUGACCUGAGGUCACAUACAGACAGCAUCAUUCUGCUUCUGCUAACACCACCAUUAUGGAGGGUUAUCUUCACUAGCACACCUGACCUCAUGACUCCCUGACAGUACACUUCUGCCAGGAGACACAACUCUUGUUGGAAACUGAGGGCCAUAGAGGAUGAGUGGCUUGUCGAGGUGACAGGGUAGCAACUGGCAGGACUAAGAUUUAAACCCAUGGCUGUGGGAUCCCCUGCUCAGAGAGGUGACUUCCCAUCUCCCAGUACUCAGCCACCUCUCCCCAGCCCCCAGCAGGUCCUGCUGUCCUGGCCUUGAUAUCUCCUUCUCAGGACUGAUGAGGUCCUCUUGUGGCCCUUCUGUCUCCUCAACAUGCAAGCCCUCAGCUUCCCCUUGGCCUUGGAGUGGGGAGCAGAGCACCCCUUACCGCUGCAUCACCUCUGCAGAGGACUGACC
Molecule: long non-coding RNA, 1434 nt
Filed under: Capra hircus (goat)
Lineage: Eukaryota; Metazoa; Chordata; Mammalia; Artiodactyla; Bovidae
Description: lncRNA (ENSCHIG00010009298.1)
Source: RNAcentral